AGAGGGGAAAGGGAAAACCAUAUGGAUGAAAGGAAGUUAUGCCUCCGGUGACUGUUCCGAUGGUUGCCGGAGCUAGGGAGUUGAUGACGAUGUCUUCACGAGAUGAGAGAGUUUUUUUUCUCUUUUAUUUUGGUUUUUGAAAAAAAAAAUCCAAAAAAGACCACAAAAAAAUACCAAAAGAAAAGAUACCCACACACGAGGUAAGCACUUGAAUAGUUCUACACUGAGAAAGAGAGAGAA
Molecule: long non-coding RNA, 240 nt
Filed under: Brassica napus (rape)
Lineage: Eukaryota; Viridiplantae; Streptophyta; Magnoliopsida; Brassicales; Brassicaceae
Description: long non-coding RNA (BNAP_LNC021765)
Source: RNAcentral